UACGUAGGGUGCAAGCGUUGUCCGGAAUUAUUGGGCGUAAAGAGCUCGUAGGCGGUCUGUCGCGUCUGCUGUGAAAACUCGGGGCUUAACCCCGGGCCUGCAGUGGGUACGGGCAGACUAGAGUGCGGUAGGGGAGACUGGAAUUCCUGGUGUAGCGGUGAAAUGCGCAGAUAUCAGGAGGAACACCGGUGGCGAAGGCGGGUCUCUGGGCCGAUACUGACGCUGAGGCGCGAAAGCGUGGGGAGCGAACAGG
This 253-nucleotide ribosomal RNA is filed under the name uncultured bacterium. RNAcentral's name for it is "partial 16S ribosomal RNA". It matches the Rfam family "Bacterial small subunit ribosomal RNA", at positions 524 to 776 of the family's 1533-position model. The record is from RNAcentral.